GACGAACGCUGGCGGCGUGCCUAAUACAUGCAAGUCGAACGCUGAAGAGAGGAGCUUGCUCUUCUUGGAUGAGUUGCGAACGGGUGAGUAACGCGUAGGUAGCCUGCCUUGUAGCGGGGGAUAACUAUUGGAAACGAUAGCUAAUACCGCAUAACAAUGGAUGACACAUGUCAUUUAUUUGAAAGGGGCAAUUGUUCCACUACAAGAUGGACCUGCGUUGUAUUAGCUAGUAGGUGAGGUAAUGGCUCACCUAGGCGACGAUACAUAGCCGACCUGAGAGGGUGAUCGGCCACACUGGGACUGAGACACGGCCCAGACUCCUACGGGAGGCAGCAGUAGGGAAUCUUCGGCAAUGGGGGCAACCCUGACCGAGCAACGCCGCGUGAGUGAAGAAGGGUUUCGGAUCGUAAAGCUCUGUUGUAAGUCAAGAACGGGUGUGAGAGUGGAAAGUUCACACUGUGACGGUAGCUUACCAGAAAGGGACGGCUAACUACGUG
RNAcentral lists this ribosomal RNA (497 nucleotides) under uncultured bacterium. RNAcentral's name for it is "partial 16S ribosomal RNA". It matches the Rfam family "Bacterial small subunit ribosomal RNA", at positions 28 to 507 of the family's 1533-position model. The record is from RNAcentral.